GCGGUGGCCACAGCAGCGAGUGACAGCCAGUGCAGAUGACUGGGGACACUGGGAUGGCCGGGAAGGUGGCGCUGCUCCUGUGGGCCCAGACCCUCGGCUUCGCUGGCACCCAGACCCCCUGGAUCAUCGUGGAGCCCCCCUGGAUGCCGGCGGUGCUGUGGGACCGGGUGACACUGACCUGCCAGGGCUCGGGGACCUCCAGUGCCACCACAUGGUACAAGGAUGGGCAGCGCUGGGGGCAGCAGGGACG
Long non-coding RNA from Melospiza melodia melodia, 250 nucleotides. RefSeq lists it as uncharacterized. NCBI's taxonomy places the organism in Eukaryota, Metazoa, Chordata, Aves, Passeriformes, Passerellidae. The transcript is spliced from 3 exons. The record is from RefSeq and is a predicted model, not a curated record.